UCUUUCUUGAUCCCCUCAUAGUACCAAGCACCAGAGCUUUUGUAGAGUAAGUUUCAUUUUGUUUUGUUGUUAUUGUUGUUUUGCUGUACCUACAGCAUGUGGAAGUUCCUGGGCUAGGGACUGAACCCUCGACACAGGAACCUGUGCCAUAGCUGCAGCAGCACUGGAUCUUUAACUUGCCUCGCCACAUGGGAACUUCCUAGAGUAAAUUUCCAAUAAGCAGUUGAUUAUUUUGUUGUUAAAUGGACACUGCAUCACAACUGCCUUUGUGCUAUAUCUAGCAGCUGAGUCUCUCAUCCGCUGUUCCCAAACAUUCGCUUAAUGAUUAUUAUGUGCCAGGCAUUGUGCAAGGCCCAGGUGGUCCUGGCUGUCAAGGAGAAUAUAGUCUGGAUGAGACAGGCAUGUAUACACAUAAUUAUGAUAGCUUAAGAUACACAGAGUACUGCAAGAGCAAAGAAGAGUGACUGAGUUCAUUUGGGAAAGUAAAUUUGAUUGGAUCUUUAAUGUGUAAAACAUUUUCAGGAAGGAAAAAAAAUGGGAAAGGCUACUCUAGGUCACAAGAACAUCAUGUACAGAAGUACUUAAGCCUAAAAAAGCAGAUGGGUUUGGAGAUUAGCAAAGCAUUAAGUAUGGAUAGAAUUUAGGUUGGGUAGGAGCUGAGUGAUGAGAGAUGAGGCCACAGCUGAACUGAGAAGAGCUUUAUAUGCCAAAAGAAUGAACUGAGAUAUUCUAUGGAGAUCAAGCAACAAAUGGAAUGUCUUGAGAAUGAAAGAAUUGUGAUUAGAUACUUGUUUUUAUUCAAAGAUGACUACCUCAUGACAAUGUGGAGAUUGGAGUAAAUAAAGAUAACGAUUAUAGAAAGACUGGCUAGGGAACAGUUACUGGCUCAAAAUAAUAAAUGCCCUGGUAAGCCAGAGGGUGGACUGGAGAGGUGUUUUUGCCAAGUCAGUAGAUGGGAAAUACAGAGAGGAAGGCGGUAAACCAGGUCUGCCUUGUGUCUAAGCUGGCAGCCGAAUGGGACUCUUAGGACUUCAUAAAAUAGGAGGAAAGGAAGGUUCUGAGUAGAAAGAGCAGUCUAGACUUAAACCCUGUCCUACCCAUUGCUGUGCAGUGUGGGUAAGCUAUUUCACUUUUCUGAACUGCAGCUGCAUCACCUACAAAAUGGAAAAAUAAUGUCUACUUUUACGGGAUUGUCAUGAGGUUAAACAGAAGUAAAACAUAGAAACACUGAGCUUAUAGCAUGAACAUGGGAGAUGCUCGGUAAAUAUUUGUUGGAUGAAGGAAACUGUCAGAAGCACAAUGACUAAUAAGACCAGGGUUUUAAACAAGGCUUGAUUAUGUGAUCUUCAGCAUGUACUCUAACUUAUUUGACACUCAGUUGCCUCACAUAUGAAACAGGGGAAAUAUGUCCUACCUCACUGGCUUGUUCAGAAGAUUAAAUCUGAUAUCCUAUGGAGACCCUGAAGUAGUCAUUGGGACAUAACUGGUGCUGAAUAAAUAUGCACUUAAUGACAGCAUCAAUUAUUUUUACUGUGUUCAUUAUAUCUGGUUUAAGAAGGUAGAGAACUACCUCAGUUUACUAAUAUUACAAUCACACAUGGAUACACAGACACAAAAGAGAAUCUUGUGUCUGGUUUUACAUUAAAAUGGUAAGCUUCCAUUAAUUGGAAAGUUAACUUAGAUAAGUGCAUCCUUCAAUAAUGUUCAAAAACUGGCAUGCUUCUCUAAUAUAUGUUAUGUAACACAAGUAUAAAGUAUAAAACUAGAAACCACCUUCAUAUCUUCUCAUUAAAAACAAAGCCAGGUACACAGUUUCUGUUCAGAGUACAGGUGACCUGCAACUUUACCCCAAAGUAGUGUUAGACUGAGAAAACUUAAGAACCACUAUUUUUAAAUAAUCUAAGCACUACCAGUAUUAAUUCAUUUUUUAAUUGCUUGAAUACCUUUGACAAUUCAUUGUGGAUACUAUUCCUGAUUAAAUAAAUGCAUUUAACUCAUAUAUUGUGGCUGUGACAGAUACUGGUAGAUAUUCCUCAGGAUCUUUUUUUCUCCACUUUGUUUUAAUAUAUGAACCUACCCUUCCACCCUUCAUGCUUCCUCCUCCACCCUAUUUUCUAGAAAUAUGGUCUCCCAGCUACAGACUACAUUUCCCAGCAUCCCUUGAAGCUAAGUAAGUUCAUGUGCUAAAGUUCUGGGCAAGGAGAGAGGAGUAGAAUUGAUAUCUUUCAUUUCUGGGUCAUCUCCUUAAAGACACUCACUCUGGACUCUCUCCUAUUUCCUUCUUCUACAGGCUGUAGCACAGACAUGACGGAAACCCAGCCUCAGUAAUGCUGAUCAGGGAAUGCACAUCAGGGAAUGGUAAUGCAGCAGAAAGGAAGCUACUUGUGUCCUUCAAUGACCUUCACCACCUGGACUGGCGGGGCCUGUAAUGUGAGAAAUACAUUUCUAUCCAUAUAACUGUUCUUAUAAGAAAGAGGCAGAGGAAGACCUGAUAUACAGAGAAGAGCAAGUUACAUGACCAUGAGACAACUUUCAGGGAUGUGGCCACAAGCCAAGGGAUGCUGGCAACCUUCAGAACUCAGGUGGAUCAAGCAAUGGAUUCCUCCCUUAGAGUCUCUGAAGCCUCUAUUAGCCUAACCUAAGGGGAAAGAGCAAGGAGAAGAAGAAAAAGAAAAAUUAAGAAAGAGAAUGCAAGCAAGAAAUAGAGGAGAAAAGAGAAGAAUCAGGGGAAAAAGAGGAGAAAUCACUCACUAAAUGGUGUAGGUCAUGUGUGAAUCAUAUUGAGAAGUUCAAAUAGCCCCUAAAUUCCACUUCUAUCAAUAUAGUGGGUAUUACAGCUAUGUCUAGGCCUGGGUCAGAAGAGGAAUUUGUCUUGAAAACAUCUGCAUGAUUCAUCCAAUAGUUGCAAUGUAGCUUACUGAAAUUUUUCUAUCAAGGUUACUAAUGACCUCUUUUCAUUUAAAAAACAGUAACCACAUAGUCAUCAAGUUCUUUACACUGACUUGCCAAACCAUGUAUCUUUCAAAAUUCUGCUCAUAACCUGCUUCUACAAAAUCUUCCCUGAACUUUACUGUUUUUCCAUUUUCUGAAUUCCUAUUAUACUCACAGGAAGUAUGUCUGUUAUUUCUGCCCCUCUAGAAAGAGGCCAGAAAUGCUUCCUGCAAAUGUCCCAGAAGGUACAAAACACCCACACCAGCAAAUAAUUAUAUUCCUAUACCUCCUAUCAGCAAUUUGCUGAAGGAUGGUCUGUAAUGGUAUCUUAUGGUGACUGAUUAUCCACUACUUAAUGCAUAUAGUCUCAUCUCCUUCAAUUCUACCUAUUUAUUGUAUUACACAAUGAUGAAUGAUAAUUGAAUUACGUCCCUGAGGCAUGCUAAAUCUAAAUCAUAAAAAAUACAUUGACAAAAUGCAUUGUCUUGCCGGUUAAGAAAAUCCACUCAUACAUUUCAGAAAAAUUUCCAACUGGAGGAGUUAAGGCCAGAAAGCAUUUCUCAUUUAUUCUAAUUAAACCCCAAAAUGCAAUUAACUGCAACCCCUCAAGUCUCUAAUAUUCAAAGCAUCUGAAGAUUGACUUUAUUACCAGAAGAGUUACAAGUUUGUCUAAAAUACACCUGAAGGUACCUGCUUUCUGGUAUUUAUUUCCCAUUAUGUGGCAAGUCUUAUACAAAUGUAAGCUUAUUUCUUUGAUAUAUGUUUCUGGCUUAACAUUUCCAAAAGGAAAGUGUGACUUUGGGGGCCUAUUUAUACUUUUCAUAUUGCACAUCUGCAUCCAGUGCAAGUGAAACUUGAAGCUCAGUUCAGCAAAGGCACAUUAUGGCAUUCCCAUCAUGUAAAAGCAGUGAAUAUAAACCACAUCACACAAUUAAGAGUCACAAACCCAGAGAAUGGUAAUAAAUUAAAUGAAACAAGUGAACUAAUUAACAUACUUUCAAAACAGAAAACUGAGACUUAAAACAUUAUAUACCUUAGCGAAAUAACAGCUGCUCUUAUUAAAAACCUUAUAUUCCAUUAGUAUGAUAUUUUGUAAUUUAUUGCUUUUCCCACCUUGGAAAAAUUAUGUUACAGUUAUGCCGGCCAUAUUAACAUUUUUUGGUCUUUUAUAAGCAGCAGCUUUUGGAAACUGGACAUUUAGCUAGCCAUUAAGUCAGAUGCUUAAGAAAAGCUUUCAUUUUUUUUUUUUUUUCUGGCG
Sus scrofa (pig) is the source of this 4189-nucleotide non-coding RNA. The record is from RefSeq and is a predicted model, not a curated record. Lineage: Eukaryota; Metazoa; Chordata; Mammalia; Artiodactyla; Suidae.